RNAcentral lists this ribosomal RNA (477 nucleotides) under uncultured bacterium. Its description in RNAcentral is "partial 16S ribosomal RNA". It matches the Rfam family "Bacterial small subunit ribosomal RNA", at positions 28 to 507 of the family's 1533-position model. The record is from RNAcentral.
GAUUAACGCUGGCGGCGUGCAUAACACAUGCAAGUCGAACGAUGAAACUUAAAUGAUUUCUUCGGAAUGAACUUAAGUGGAUUAGUGGCGGACGGGUGAGUAACGCGUGAGUAACCUGCCUUACACAAGGGGAUAGCCGUUGGAAACGACGAAUAAUACCCUAUGAUGUUUCUAUCUCGCAUGAGAUAUUAACCAAAGUGUUAGCGGUGUAAGAUGGACUUGCGUCUGAUUAGCUAGUUGGGGAGAAAAAAGCCCACCAAGGCAACGAUCAGUAGCCGGCUUGAGAGAGUGUACGGCCACAUUGGGACUGAGACACGGCCCAGACUCCUACGGGAGGCAGCAGUGGGGAAUUUUGCACAAUGGGGGAAACCCUGAUGCAGCGACGCCGCGUGAUUUAGAAGGCCUUCGGGUUGUAAAAAUCUUUUGUAUAGGAAGAAAAUGACAGUACUAUACGAAUAAGGUCCGGCUAAUUACGUG